Molecule: ribosomal RNA, 147 nt
Filed under: Erithacus rubecula (European robin)
Lineage: Eukaryota; Metazoa; Chordata; Aves; Passeriformes; Muscicapidae
Description: partial 12S ribosomal RNA
Source: RNAcentral
CAAACUGGGAUUAGAUACCCCACUAUGCCUGGCCCUAAAUCUUGAUGCUCCACCUUACCUGAGCAUCCGCCCGAGAACUACGAGCACAAACGCUUAAAACUCUAAGGACUUGGCGGUGCCCCAAACCCACCUAGAGGAGCCUGUUCU